Long non-coding RNA from Melospiza georgiana, 1493 nucleotides. RefSeq lists it as uncharacterized. NCBI's taxonomy places the organism in Eukaryota, Metazoa, Chordata, Aves, Passeriformes, Passerellidae. The record is from RefSeq and is a predicted model, not a curated record. The transcript has 5 exons.
GUAAAGCCAGAGAUGGCCGGGAGAAUGCCCAGCACAGGGAGCAGGCGGGCUGUAUGCUUCGGAUGGCACAGGGUACUCACAAAAUAUGUCUCCCUUAGUGUCCCACAGAAACAUUCUGGGUGAAAUCUGAAUUAAGUGCUAUGAGUCUUGAUAAAUUGGAGAAGUGCCCAAGAGAAAUUCAUCAUCCUGAGAUACAAAAGCUCCUGGUCGGCUAACGAGCGAAUGUCUGCGUGACCUCUGUCAUGGAGCCAUUUCUCCACACUAUACUAUCAAAGUUUAAAGGUAAAUUAUUAUAUAUUAGGAGAUGGUGUAAAGUGUAUGUUGUAAUGUGUAGGAUAUAUACAAAGAUACGUACUUGAAAGUCCGUAGAGGAAACAAAUUUUUACACCUUCUGUUUGACUGUUUGUCAUAUAUUUGGUUUUAUUUCCCAGGGAUCAGUGAAUUUUAACUCUGGAGUCCUCUAUGCUAAGGAUGCUCAGCUUACAGAUGAUGAAAUGUUCAGUAAUGGUGAGUUUUUCACCUUCUCCUUCAUUGUUUUGCUCAUCUGAAUAAAAAAAAAAAAAAGGCAAGAUUAAAGAAAAAGCAAUAGUUUUAUUAUUUUUACCCUGUUAUGUCUGUUUCCUCAGUAUUUGCUGGAGCUGUGCUUACCCAAGGUUUGGGUAAAACAAGCUUUGGGUUCCCUCUGUCUCACUGGGAGUUGCCCAAUUCAGUUGCAUCUGGUGAAAUUCACCCUGAGACCUUACAGAACCAGCUCCAACUACGUGAGAGCCAUUUGCAGUUCUCUCCAAACGCCUGGAGAAUGGGUGACGUUUCUGAGGAUCCGGCGAGCGUGCUUCUAUCAAAACUCAGUCUGUGAAAUUUCUGGGGAAAACCCUUCUGUGUCCUGAAGGGUUCAAACUCUGGUGAGGAUCCAGUUAUCAGGUGCUCACCUGGAUGGUUCCAGCUGCCAAAGGUAACACUUGUACUCUUGCCCUGUAGUUUACAUCUAUUGUAUUUUUGUUAUUUUGCAGGAUUUUUUGUCUUUGCAAAAUAUUGUGCAUUUCACUCUUUGGAACCUCUCAGAUGGUUCUUUGGUGCAGCACCACCCCAUGGGACACUUGGCUGCUGUCCUGAAGGGGUUGGUCGCUAGAAUUGUAAAUCCUGGAGAGUUUAUAAGUCUUCUGUCCCCAGGGAGGUAUCAUGCUUUGUUUACUUUUGUUCUGUUGGUUAGGUGCUGCUUCUCGUUGCAAGUACGAAUUUCAAACUGCCCUGUUCUUAUUUUAACUGUUUUCCUGGUUCUCUCCGUCCGGCAGGGAAAGACUCUCGUAUCCUUGUCGUCGGGCUCGGUGCUGUCCAAGAAGAUACAGAGACUAAAAAAAUCAUAAGAAGCAAAAUAUGACUGCAGGGAAAAGAAGCUGGAGAGAACAGAAGACUCAUCACGGCGGGACAGCGUGAGGACUGAAAGUGUAAGAAGAUGUGGAGGGAAACAGAGAAUCUGACAGGAGCAGCGAACG